Non-coding RNA from Triticum aestivum (bread wheat), 163 nucleotides. The record is from Rfam. NCBI's taxonomy places the organism in Eukaryota, Viridiplantae, Streptophyta, Magnoliopsida, Poales, Poaceae.
UGGAUGAGAGCCACUCUGGCUAGCCAAGAAGACCCACCCAUGCAACCACACAAACUGCAUCCAUCACAGGGGCUUCCCAGCCGAUGGUGAGAUGGAUCAGUUAGCAGAGGCAUUGCAUAGGCAAGUCAUUCUUGGCUACCGGAUGAAAGGAGGCUCUCCAUCU